UUUAUAGAUGUGAGACAAAGUCCUCUGUUCAUCCACAGAACAUGUAUAGCACAAGCUAAGGCAAUGCAAGCUUCUUGUUCACUGCUUUUCAAGUGUGCCUCUGACCUGACCUGGAAGGGCCCAUCUUUAGGAGCAAAAGGGGAACUUGGUCUCUGCGGUCCUUUCAAUCAUUCAUCUUCC
This 180-nucleotide small RNA is filed under the name Chelonoidis abingdonii (Abingdon island giant tortoise). RNAcentral's name for it is "TUC338 (ENSCABG00000019710.1)". Lineage: Eukaryota; Metazoa; Chordata; Testudines; Testudinidae. The record is from RNAcentral.